AUUGAACGCUGGCGGCAUGCCUAACACAUGCAAGUCGAACGGCAACAGGGGGGCGAUUCUGGCUUCGCUUGGCAAAGGGGGGCGUGAUACAUCUGACCGUGCAAGGUCGUGGGGGAUGGGGUAACCAAAUGGAAACUAAUACUACUACCGCAUAGCGUCGGAAGACGGAUGAGCUUGGGGUCUCGCGCCAUCGCAGUGGGCGAUGUCCGAUUAGGUAGUUGGUGGGGUAAGGGCAUACCAAGGCGACGAUCUCUAGCUGGUCUGAGAGGAUGACCAGCCACACUGGAACUGAGACACGGCCCAGACUCCUACGGGAGGCAGCAGUGGGGAAUAUUGCACAAUGGGCGCAAGCCUGAUGCAGCCAUGCCGCGUGUAGGAAGAAGGCCUUCGGGUUGUAAAGUGCUUUUGGCGGGAAGGAAGAGACUCUAGUUAAUACCUGGGGAUAAUGACGGUACCGGAAGAAUAAGCACCGGCUAACUACGUG
This 484-nucleotide ribosomal RNA is filed under the name uncultured bacterium. RNAcentral's name for it is "partial 16S ribosomal RNA". It matches the Rfam family "Bacterial small subunit ribosomal RNA", at positions 30 to 507 of the family's 1533-position model. The record is from RNAcentral.